CGCACGGGUGAGUAACACGUAUGCAACCUGCCUGCCACAGCCGGAUAAUCGGGAGAAAUUCCGUCUAAUACGGCAUAAUGCAUCGACGGGACAUCCUGUUGGUGCCAAAGGUUAAUUCCGGUGGCGGAUGGGCAUGCGUCGCAUUAGUUAGUUGGCGGUGUAACGGACCACCAAGACGACGAUGCGUAGGGGUUCUGAGAAGAAGGUCCCCCACACUGGUACUGAGACACGGACCAGACUCCUACGGAAGGCAGCAG
Molecule: ribosomal RNA, 257 nt
Filed under: uncultured bacterium
Lineage: Bacteria
Description: partial 16S ribosomal RNA
Rfam family: Bacterial small subunit ribosomal RNA
Source: RNAcentral